This is a non-coding RNA of Meleagris gallopavo (turkey), 834 nucleotides long. NCBI's taxonomy places the organism in Eukaryota, Metazoa, Chordata, Aves, Galliformes, Phasianidae. The record is from RefSeq and is a predicted model, not a curated record.
GGAGCAUUGGGUGUUGUACCGAGCGACGUGGCUCAGCGGGAAAUGGUGGUGGUAGGUGGGUGGUUGGACUGGAUGAUCUUGGAGAUCUUUUCCAGCCUUGCUAAUUCUACGGUUCUAUGAAAGGCAUGUGCUGGGCGAGUGCUUUGCUGGGUGAGCAGGCAGCUGUUGCCACAUCCACAGGGAUGGGAGGCUUUUUAACCUGAGCCUUGUCUUUGGUGUCUGGUGCCCAGUAAGUCGUGUUGUUUUAAAGCAGCGUCUCGAUUUCUGCAGCCACCAGAGCUCUCCCUCAUGCUCUUCCCUGUGACGUGAGACCGCGUUGAAGGCCUUGCAGACGUCUGGUCGUAACCAUGGAAGUGUUACCCAGGCAAAAGGAGCAUUUGUCACCUGGGCUUUCUACAAGUGACAGAGACAGCGGAAGUCAGCAUCCGAAACAGCCGCGAGAGCCCUGCAAAAGAAUGGAGAGCUAGACUUCAGCUCCUUCCUGUUUCCUGCCCAUGCGCUCCCUGCUUUGCCCGUGGCCCGGUGAGGUUUUGUUCCUCGCACCCAGCUUGGCACGUGUGGAUAAGGGCCUCUGUUUACGCACGUUCAUUUUCUGCUGGUGGUGUCAGGCUGAGUGACGGCUCACAGCUGAGCUGGUGGUUAGCGAGACGCACGAUGAUAGCUGCAGGUACAGUUCUCUGUGUCACUGACGCACGAGCUCUGUGGCGGCCACGAGCCACAGAAACAGGGAGUUUGUGUUUCAUUUCUGCGUUUGCUGGCAUUGCCCCGCGGCCCUGUUGUGGUUGAAGCCGGCGGGUGGCUCAGCACCGCACAGUCCUUCGCUCACUGCCCUCU